This 349-nucleotide transfer-messenger RNA is filed under the name Treponema sp. It matches the Rfam family "transfer-messenger RNA". Rfam says of the family: Bacterial tmRNA, also known as 10Sa RNA or SsrA, is named for its dual tRNA and mRNA-like properties. Its role is to liberate the mRNA from a stalled ribosome. The record is from RNAcentral. Lineage: Bacteria; Pseudomonadati; Spirochaetota; Spirochaetia; Treponematales; Treponemataceae.
GGGGGUGCACCGGUUUCGACUGGUACGAUUCGGGGUACAGGUUGCAGGUGGAGCGCCGACCUCCUAACAUUCGGCAAAACUUUUAACUGCCAACAACGACAGUUACGCUCUCGCCGCGUAAGCGGCAGAACGCGGAAACCAAUCGCGCCGCCUUGAGCGGUUGAAUUUCCGUCGCAAUCGAGGCUGGUUGACCAUUGGGCCCGAACGAUGGAAGACGAGAUUAACCGGGAUACGGAACCGCCGCGUGCCCCGUAGCUAAGCGGCUCCCGACAAUACCAAUACGAGGCUAAACCUGUAGAGAUUUGUAUUUCGCGUAUUAGGACGCGGGUUCGAUUCCCGCCACCUCCAA